RNAcentral lists this ribosomal RNA (301 nucleotides) under uncultured bacterium. Its description in RNAcentral is "partial 16S ribosomal RNA". It matches the Rfam family "Bacterial small subunit ribosomal RNA", at positions 509 to 807 of the family's 1533-position model. The record is from RNAcentral.
CAGCAGCCGCGGUAAAACGAACCGUGCGAACGUUAUUCGGAAUUACUGGGCUUAAAGCGCGUGUAGGCGGAUCGCCACGUCGGUCGCUGAAAUCCCCCGGCUCAACCGGGGAACGGGCGCCGAUACGGGCGGUCUCGAGGGGGGUAGGGGGGACUGGAACUUCCGGUGGAGCGGUGAAAUGCGUUGAGAUCGGAAGGAACGCCCGUGGCGAAAGCGAGUCCCUGGACCCUUUCUGACGCUGAGACGCGAAAGCCAGGGGAGCGAACGGGAUUAGAUACCCGCGUAGUCCCUGUCUCUUAUU